UACGUAGGUGGCGAGCGUUGUCCGGAAUUACUGGGUGUAAAGCGCGUGUAGGCGGGAGGCCAAGUCUGUGGUGAAAUCGCUCGGCUUAACUGGGCGGGGUCCAUGGAAACUGGUCACCUGGAGGUCGGUAGAGGCAAGUGGGAUUCCAGGUGUAGCGGUGAAAUGCGUAGAUAUCUGGAGGAACACCGGUGGCGAAGGCGGCAUCCUGGACCGAUACUGACGCUGAGGAGCGAAAGCCAGGGGAGCAAACGGG
Molecule: ribosomal RNA, 253 nt
Filed under: uncultured bacterium
Lineage: Bacteria
Description: partial 16S ribosomal RNA
Rfam family: Bacterial small subunit ribosomal RNA
Source: RNAcentral